Molecule: ribosomal RNA, 253 nt
Filed under: uncultured bacterium
Lineage: Bacteria
Description: partial 16S ribosomal RNA
Rfam family: Bacterial small subunit ribosomal RNA
Source: RNAcentral
UACGAAGGGGGCUAGCGUUGUUCGGAAUCACUGGGCGUAAAGCGCACGCAGGCGGAUUGAUAAGUCGGGGGUGAAAUCCCGGGGCUCAACCUCGGAAUUGCCUUCGAUACUGUCUGUCUUGAGUCCGGGAGAGGUGAGUGGAAUUCCUAGUGUAGAGGUGAAAUUCGUAGAUAUUCGGAAGAACACCAGUGGCGAAGGCGGCUCACUGGACUGGUAUUGACGCUGAGGUGCGAAAGCGUGGGGAGCAAACAGG